RNAcentral lists this small RNA (681 nucleotides) under Pan troglodytes (chimpanzee). Its description in RNAcentral is "processed transcript". The record is from RNAcentral. Lineage: Eukaryota; Metazoa; Chordata; Mammalia; Primates; Hominidae.
CCGUUCAGGCUUUUCCUCCAGGGGUGCUUUGUAAACACGGCUGUGCUCAGGGCUCGCGGGUGACCGAAAGGAUCAUGAACUAGUGACCUGGAAAGGAUACUAGAUGGAAACUUGAGAAAGGACUGCUUAUUGAUAACAGCUAAGGUAUUCCUGGAAGCAGAGUAAAUAAAGCUCAUGGCCCACCAGCUAGAAAGUAUUCUUGCCAUGAGAAAAAGAAUGUGAUAAGUUAUUCAACUUAUGAAAUUCAAGUUACAUGUGAAUUCUGCCAGGCAAUACAAGGACCUGUGGAAUAUGAGUGAUGACAAACCCUUUCUAUGUACUGCGCCUGGAUGUGGCCAGGGUCUCACUCUGUCACCCGGGCUGGAGUGCAGUAGCAUGAUCAUGACACACUGAAGCCUCAACCUCCUGGGCUCAGGAUCUCCCAAUGUUGUCCAGGCUGUUCUCAAACUCCUGGGCUCAAGCCAUCUGCCUACCUUGGCCUCCCAAUGUGCUGAGAUUGUAGGCAUGAGCCACUUCGCCUGACCCACUUUACUUUUUGGAUUUGGUACUGAGUUAAAUGGAAUGAGAGAUGGUAUUACUCAAAUCAUCCAUUUUGCUGGCUUGGAGUGAACAAACAACUUGAUUCUGUAAUCCCUGAAGUACAGCUAAUGCAAUAUGUGUUUCUAGGGCCAGCCUUUGGAC